GGGUUGUGAGGUUAAGCGACUAAGCGUACACGGUGGAUGCCCUGGCAGUCAGAGGCGAUGAAGGACGUGCUAAUCUGCGAAAAGCGUCGGUAAGGUGAUAUGAACCGUUAUAACCGGCGAUGUCCGAAUGGGGAAACCCAGUGUGAUUCGUCACACUAUCGUUAACUGAAUACAUAGGUUAACGAGGCGAACCGGGGGAACUGAAACAUCUAAGUACCCCGAGGAAAAGAAAUCAACCGAGAUUCCCCCAGUAGCGGCGAGCGAACGGGGAGCAGCCCAGAGUCUGAAUCAGCUUGUGUGUUAGUGGAACGGUCUGGAAAGUCCGACGGUACAGGGUGAUAGUCCCGUACACCAAAAUGCACAGGUUGUGAACUCGAAGAGUAGGGCGGGACACGUGGUAUCCUGUCUGAAUAUGGGGGGACCAUCCUCCAAGGCUAAAUACUCCUGACUGACCGAUAGUGAACCAGUACCGUGAGGGAAAGGCGAAAAGAACCCCGGCGAGGGGAGUGAAAAAGAACCUGAAACCGUGUACGUACAAGCAGUGGGAGCACCUUCGGGUGUGACUGCGUACCUUUUGUAUAAUGGGUCAGCGACUUAUAUUCUGUAGCAAGGUUAACCGUAUAGGGGAGCCGCAGGGAAACCGAGUCUUAACUGGGCGUUAAGUUGCAGGGUAUAGACCCGAAACCCGGUGAUCUAGCCAUGGGCAGGUUGAAGGUUGGGUAACACUAACUGGAGGACCGAACCGACUAAUGUUGAAAAAUUAGCGGAUGACUUGUGGCUGGGGGUGAAAGGCCAAUCAAACCGGGAGAUAGCUGGUUCUCCCCGAAAGCUAUUUAGGUAGCGCCUCGUGAAUUCAUCUUCGGGGGUAGAGCACUGUUUCGGCUAGGGGGUCAUCCCGACUUACCAACCCGAUGCAAACUACGAAUACCGAAGAAUGUUAUCACGGGAGACACACGGCGGGUGCUAACGUCCGUCGUGAAGAGGGAAACAACCCAGACCGCCAGCUAAGGUCCCAAAGUCAUGGUUAAGUGGGAAACGAUGUGGGAAGGCACAGACAGCCAGGAUGUUGGCUUAGAAGCAGCCAUCAUUUAAAGAAAGCGUAAUAGCUCACUGGUCGAGUCGGCCUGCGCGGAAGAUGUAACGGGGCUAAACCAUGCACCGAAGCUGCGGCAGCGACACUAUGUGUUGUUGGGUAGGGGAGCGUUCUGUAAGCCUGCGAAGGUGUGCUGUGAGGCAUGCUGGAGGUAUCAGAAGUGCGAAUGCUGACAUAAGUAACGAUAAAGCGGGUGAAAAGCCCGCUCGCCGGAAGACCAAGGGUUCCUGUCCAACGUUAAUCGGGGCAGGGUGAGUCGACCCCUAAGGCGAGGCCGAAAGGCGUAGUCGAUGGGAAACAGGUUAAUAUUCCUGUACUUGGUGUUACUGCGAAGGGGGGACGGAGAAGGCUAUGUUAGCCGGGCGACGGUUGUCCCGGUUUAAGCAUGUAGGCUGGUUAUCCAGGCAAAUCCGGAUAAUCAAGGCUGAGGUGUGAUGACGAGGCACUACGGUGCUGAAGUAACAAAUGCCCUGCUUCCAGGAAAAGCCUCUAAGCAUCAGGUAACAUCAAAUCGUACCCCAAACCGACACAGGUGGUCAGGUAGAGAAUACCAAGGCGCUUGAGAGAACUCGGGUGAAGGAACUAGGCAAAAUGGUGCCGUAACUUCGGGAGAAGGCACGCUGGUGUGUAGGUGAAGUCCCUGCGGAUGGAGCUGAGACCAGUCGAAGAUACCAGCUGGCUGCAACUGUUUAUUAAAAACACAGCACUGUGCAAACACGAAAGUGGACGUAUACGGUGUGACGCCUGCCCGGUGCCGGAAGGUUAAUUGAUGGGGUUAUCCGUAAGGAGAAGCUCUUGAUCGAAGCCCCGGUAAACGGCGGCCGUAACUAUAACGGUCCUAAGGUAGCGAAAUUCCUUGUCGGGUAAGUUCCGACCUGCACGAAUGGCGUAAUGAUGGCCAGGCUGUCUCCACCCGAGACUCAGUGAAAUUGAACUCGCUGUGAAGAUGCAGUGUACCCGCGGCAAGACGGAAAGACCCCGUGAACCUUUACUAUAGCUUGACACUGAACAUUGAGCCUUGAUGUGUAGGAUAGGUGGGAGGCUUUGAAGCGUGGACGCCAGUCUGCGUGGAGCCAACCUUGAAAUACCACCCUUUAAUGUUUGAUGUUCUAACGUUGGCCCCUGACCGGGGUUGCGGACAGUGUCUGGUGGGUAGUUUGACUGGGGCGGUCUCCUCCCAAAGCGUAACGGAGGAGCACGAAGGUUAGCUAAUCCUGGUCGGACAUCAGGAGGUUAGUGCAAUGGCAUAAGCUAGCUUGACUGCGAGCGUGACGGCGCGAGCAGGUGCGAAAGCAGGUCAUAGUGAUCCGGUGGUUCUGAAUGGAAGGGCCAUCGCUCAACGGAUAAAAGGUACUCCGGGGAUAACAGGCUGAUACCGCCCAAGAGUUCAUAUCGACGGCGGUGUUUGGCACCUCGAUGUCGGCUCAUCACAUCCUGGGGCUGAAGUAGGUCCCAAGGGUAUGGCUGUUCGCCAUUUAAAGUGGUACGCGAGCUGGGUUUAGAACGUCGUGAGACAGUUCGGUCCCUAUCUGCCGUGGGCGCUGGAGAAUUGAGGGGGGCUGCUCCUAGUACGAGAGGACCGGAGUGGACGCAUCACUGGUGUUCGGGUUGUCAUGCCAAUGGCACUGCCCGGUAGCUAAAUGCGGAAGAGAUAAGUGCUGAAAGCAUCUAAGCACGAAACUUGCCCCGAGAUGAGUUCUCCCUGAGACUUUAAGUCUCCUGAAGGAACGUUAAAGACGAUGACGUUGAUAGGCCGGGUGUGUAAGCGCAGCGAUGCGUUGAGCUAACCGGUACUAAUGAACCGUGAGGCUUAACCUUACAACGCCGAAG
This 2923-nucleotide ribosomal RNA is filed under the name Klebsiella pneumoniae. RNAcentral describes it as "23S ribosomal RNA". It matches the Rfam family "Bacterial large subunit ribosomal RNA". Lineage: Bacteria; Pseudomonadati; Pseudomonadota; Gammaproteobacteria; Enterobacterales; Enterobacteriaceae. The record is from RNAcentral.